AUACUCCUGGAGCACUAGUGCA
Molecule: unclassified non-coding RNA, 22 nt
Filed under: Chlamydomonas reinhardtii
Lineage: Eukaryota; Viridiplantae; Chlorophyta; Chlorophyceae; Chlamydomonadales; Chlamydomonadaceae
Description: small RNA Cre_0662
Source: RNAcentral